This 504-nucleotide ribosomal RNA is filed under the name uncultured bacterium. RNAcentral's name for it is "partial 16S ribosomal RNA". It matches the Rfam family "Bacterial small subunit ribosomal RNA", at positions 30 to 523 of the family's 1533-position model. The record is from RNAcentral.
AUUGAACGCUGGCGGCAUGCCUUACACAUGCAAGUCGAACGACAGCAUGGAGAGCUUGCUCUCUGAUGGCGAGUGGCGAACGGGUGAGUAAUGCAUCGGAACGUACCGUGUAAUGGGGGAUAACGUAGCGAAAGUUACGCUAAUACCGCAUACGACCUGAGGGUGAAAGCAGGGGAUCGCAAGACCUUGCGUUAUACGAGCGGCCGAUGUCGGAUUAGCUAGUUGGUGAGGUAAAGGCUCACCAAGGCGGCGAUCUGUAGCGGGUCUGAGAGGAUGAUCCGCCACACUGGGACUGAGACACGGCCCAGACUCCUACGGGAGGCAGCAGUGGGGAAUUUUGGACAAUGGGGGCAACCCUGAUCCAGCCAUGCCGCGUGAGUGAAGAAGGCCUUCGGGUUGUAAAGCUCUUUCGGCCGGGAAGAAAUCGCACAGGCUAAUACUCUGUGUGGAUGACGGUACCGGCAUAAGAAGCACCGGCUAACCACGUGCCAGCCGCCGCGGUAA